ACGCACGCGGGCGGGCAUGUCGGGCGCUGACGCCGCGGGAACUCCGUCAGUGUGGGAAGUGGUGCGCGUGCUGGGCAGGGCGGUGUGCGCAGGCGCGGCUCUCACUGCCGCUCUCUACCUGAUCCGCAGAGUGUGUUUAAUAAUGGCCUGGAAAUCAGGAGGAGCCAGCCAAGCGGAGCUCGUCAACAACCUCCGCAAAAAUGGCAUCAUUAAGUCGGACCGUGUGUAUGAAGUCAUGCUCACCACAGACCGAGCCCAUUUCUCUAGAUGUAACCCUUAUAUGGAUUCCCCACAGUCUAUAGGAUACCAGGCAACCAUCAGUGCGCCACAUAUGCAUGCAUAUGCACUGGAGCUGUUACAUGAUCAGCUGUAUGAAGGUGCCAAAGCUUUGGAUGUGGGAUCAGGCAGCGGCAUCCUGUCAGUCUGUUUUGCCAGAAUGGUGGGGCCAAAGGGCAAAGUCGUCGGGAUCGAUCACAUAAAGGAACUGGUGGACGACUCGAUCAACAAUGUUAAGAAAGACGACCCGACGCUCAUCUCAUCAGGACGCAUCAACCUUCUCGUGGGAGAUGGCAGGAUGGGCUAUCCGGAGGAGGCUCCCUAUGACGCCAUACAUGUAGGAGCCGCAGCCCCUACUGUCCCGCAAGCUCUCCUGGACCAGCUGAAGCCCGGCGGGCGUCUCAUCCUGCCAGUCGGACCAGCUGGAGGGAACCAGAUGCUGGAGCAGCACGACAAGCUGGAGGACGGCAGCAUCAAAAUGAAGCCCCUCAUGGGGGUGAUUUACGUGCCUUUAACAGACAAAGACAAGCAGUGGUCCAGGUGGAAGUGACUUCCUGUCCCUCUCUUCCCCCUCCCUCCUUUCCCCAGGGAACAGGUGAAAUGGUGUGGGCUGGAGCAAGACAAGGCUGCGUUUGCUGGAUGAACUCUAAAACAACAGUCUGGCAAUAUUCACUGUCAUACAUAUACACACAUUUCUCACACACACGCACACACACAACCACAACCUCACAGCAUCCAUCAGGACUUAACAACUAACGAGGAGACGGUAAAAGGACAAUGAAGAAGAAAAGCCACGCUCUCUGCACUCUCGCUCUCGGGACAGUCUGACCGCCGUGUGGCCAAAGAGCCCUCAGGAUGGAAAGAGGGGAAAAAAGGAUUGAAAAAAAAAAACUAAGAGGGUCUUUGUCUUGACAUUUUCAUGCCUGCAGUUUGCUUGGAUUUGUGAAUUGCUUUUUUUUUUUUCCCUCUCUCUUUUGUUGGUUUGCAGGUACACUUUUGUUUUUGUGGGAUCUACAGUAUUGCAGCUGAUUAUUAUUAUUAUUAUCAAUAAUAAUUCUUUUCAUUUUGUGUGUUUACAUGCGUUUCGGCUUGUUCGGAGCUGGUGCUGUUCUCAUAUGAACUAUAGGAACGGGAGGGAUUAAAGGAUAACUCUGUUUCCGUGCUCAUGGUAAAUGGGCGGUUGUGAAAAUGUGCUGAAUUUAUGUGCAUUUUUAUUUAAUUUCUUUCUUUUUUUUUUCCAAAGUUCAAAUUGUAAAAUGCUGCUUUUUGGCUGGGUUUUUUUUUUUUUUUCUUUCUUUGUUUUUUGGAGAGUACAUUCGAAUGCUAGCUAGGGCUGCGCCUGAGAUCAGACUGAUAAAGCGUUCUUCAUCGGGGCAUUUCAGUCUUUUCAUUAGAGAUCAGUUCUUAAUUGAAAACUUCCUUUUUUUCAAACCUAUUAAAUGCUUAUAUAUUAAGCGCUAAGCAGCCACAAUCAUCCUAAAGAUCACACAAUAGCAGCAGAAAGUAUUUCUUUCAGUUUUUCUUUGCGCAUCUCCUUCAAGCUACGUGUGUACAUUUUCCCGUGCCUCUUCUCUAAAGUCUCCCACAGCUGCAGUUUAGCGUAGAUUUUGCUCAGGCUGUCAUGACACUAUUUUAACCCUAGCUGAUUAACAAACACACUGUCGCUAACAAUACCACCCUGGGCCGAUCGCUUAAAUCUGCGCCGAGCGACAGGCUCCAGAGGUUCACGCAAGCGUGCAACAAGCACACACUCUCUCUCACAUACACGCAGGGCUGAGCUUGUGUCCUUUUUCACUGUGGACAUGCUGGCUGUCACCAUGCUGAUUGUGACGCACAACGUGGCUUUCUACCAAUAAAACCCAACACAGAGCAAACCA
Clarias gariepinus (North African catfish) is the source of this 2153-nucleotide RNA transcript. It is a transcript of the gene named protein-L-isoaspartate (D-aspartate) O-methyltransferase, with no coding region annotated. Lineage: Eukaryota; Metazoa; Chordata; Actinopteri; Siluriformes; Clariidae. The record is from RefSeq and is a predicted model, not a curated record. The transcript is spliced from 8 exons.